Molecule: ribosomal RNA, 1355 nt
Filed under: uncultured bacterium
Lineage: Bacteria
Description: bacterial SSU rRNA
Rfam family: Bacterial small subunit ribosomal RNA
Source: RNAcentral
AUUGAACGCUGGCGGCAGGCUUAACACAUGCAAGUCGAACGAUGAAACUCUAGCUUGCUAGAGAAGAUUAGUGGCGGACGGGUGAGUAACAUUUAGGAAUCUGCCUAGUAGUGGGGGAUAGCUCGGGGAAACUCGAAUUAAUACCGCCUACGACCUACGGGUGAAAGGGGGCGCAAGCUCUUGCUAUUAGAUGAGCCUAAAUCAGAUUAGCUAGUUGGUGGGGUAAAGGCCCACCAAGGCGACGAUCUGUAACUGGUCUGAGAGGAUGAUCAGUCACACCGGAACUGAGACACGGUCCGGACUCCUACGGGAGGCAGCAGUGGGGAAUAUUGGACAAUGGGGGCAACCCUGAUCCAGCCAUGCCGCGUGUGUGAAGAAGGCCUUUUGGUUGUAAAGCACUUUAAGCAGGGAGGAGAGGCUAAUGGUUAAUACCCAUUAGAUUAGACGUUACCUGCAGAAUAAGCACCGGCUAACUCUGUGCCAGCAGCCGCGGUAAUACAGAGGGUGCGAGCGUUAAUCGGAAUUACUGGGCGUAAAGCGAGUGUAGGUGGCUCAUUAAGUCACAUGUGAAAUCCCCGGGCUUAACCUGGGAACUGCAUGUGAUACUGGUGGUGCUAGAAUAUGUGAGAGGGAAGUAGAAUUCCAGGUGUAGCGGUGAAAUGCGUAGAGAUCUGGAGGAAUACCGAUGGCGAAGGCAGCUUCCUGGCAUAAUAUUGACACUGAGAUUCGAAAGCGUGGGUAGCAAACAGGAUUAGAUACCCUGGUAGUCCACGCCGUAAACGAUGUCUACUAGCCGUUGGGGUCCUUGAGACUUUAGUGGCGCAGUUAACGCGAUAAGUAGACCGCCUGGGGAGUACGGCCGCAAGGUUAAAACUCAAAUGAAUUGACGGGGGCCCGCACAAGCGGUGGAGCAUGUGGUUUAAUUCGAUGCAACGCGAAGAACCUUACCUGGUCUUGACAUAGUGAGAAUCCUGCAGAGAUGCGGGAGUGCCUUCGGGAAUUCACAUACAGGUGCUGCAUGGCUGUCGUCAGCUCGUGUCGUGAGAUGUUGGGUUAAGUCCCGCAACGAGCGCAACCCUUUUCCUUACUUGCCAGCGGGUUAAGCCGGGAACUUUAAGGAUACUGCCAGUGACAAACUGGAGGAAGGCGGGGACGACGUCAAGUCAUCAUGGCCCUUACGACCAGGGCUACACACGUGCUACAAUGGUAGGUACAGAGGGUUGCUACACAGCGAUGUGAUGCUAAUCUCAAAAAGCCUAUCGUAGUCCGGAUUGGAGUCUGCAACUCGACUCCAUGAAGUCGGAAUCGCUAGUAAUCGCAGAUCAGAAUGCUGCGGUGAAUACGUUCCCGGGCCU